GGGUGGGGUAGGCGGGGAGAGCUGCCACUGGAUCUGCUUAAUCUGGAACCAGGGUCAAAGCAGUGACUGUCGGAAGCCACCAGGCCAAGAUGUCUUUCUAUCAUGGCUGGUGUCUUAUCACCAUACCCAGAGAGGGCUUCCCUUGGAGCUCUAGAAAGACGAUGACAGCAAAAAGAAACUGUUCUGUUGAUGGCUCUGGAGAGGCCCCCUGGAACUCUAGUUCUCAGCAGCCAACUCUGGUGAUGGAGGAUGGGAUUUAAAUGGUGGACACCUAAAGGAGAAGAAAGCACAAAAGAAUGUCCAAUCAAGAAUACGGGGCAGAAAUAAAAUGGGAGAAUAUGACUCAGGUAUUGUUCUCCUAAAUUCUCCCAGGGCCUUUGCAUAUACUGUUUCCAACGUGUGGAACCUGGAAGGAGACAUUUAGGUUGCAUCCUCAUCUGCCUAUUGUGAACAGUGCUGCAGUGAACAUGGAGUGCUAAUCUCUCUUUGAGAUCCUGAUUUCAGUACUUUUGGAUAACUGUGCAGAAGUGGGGUUGCUGGAUCAUACAGUAAUACAACUCAAUAGCAAAAAAACCACCCUAAUUACCCAAUUUAAAAAUGGGCUAAAGACUUGAAUAGACACUUCUUUGAAGAAGACAUACAGAUGGGCAACAGGCAGGUUCUUUACCAGUAGCACCACAUGGGAAUCCCUAGCAAAAGAAAGGUGACUGCUAGUUCCAACAAGGAUGAGUUCACACAUGAGGUCAGAUGUGUUUCUUUAAGAAGAGGGCAGUUGGACUUCCCUGGUGGUACAGUGAAUAAGAAUCCACUGGGGACAUGGGCUCGAUUCCUAGUCUGAGAAGAUUCCACAUGCCAUGGGCAACUAAAGCUUUUGUACCACAACUACUGAGCUCUAGGGCCAGAGAGCCACAGCUAAUGAGCCUCUGUGCUGAAGCCCUCGAAUCCUAGAGCCUGCCUGCUGCUAAUACUGAAGCCGGUGUGCCUAGAGCCUGUGCUCCGCAAGGAAGAGCAGCCCCUGCUCGCUGCAGCUAGUGAAAGCCCUUGCACAGAAAUGAAGAUCCUGUGCAACGAAAAAUAAAUAAUAAUGAAAAAAAGGAAAAAACCAGUUAUUUCAAAUUUGCUGGCCUCUUGCUUGUGACUGUCUGUGUGUGUGAGCUCACACGGAAGCACACACACAUCCCCACACCCACUCCCCCCUGCACACACAUAUAUAUACACACACACACACACACAAUGUAUCCCUUCAGGUAAAGGUGAUGUUUUGGGAGUUAAUAUGACUGUGCUUUAAAAUAAUCAUGUUAUGGGGAAAGCAUUUUGAAAAUUGAUGUUUGGAACUGUUUCUAUUAUUAUGUGAUUUUAAUGCCAAAAUGAAGUGUCUCAUUGCCAACUAUAGAGACUGGCAUAGCCACAGCCUCCAAAAUUAAGAAGUACACUUUUAAAACCCAUUUUGCAUUCUUCCAAAUGAAGAGUUUCUGGAGUUUAAAAAAUCCCAUUGUUAAAAAUAUCCCCAGAAACAACUGAUGAAAAUGAAACGGCUUCUAAAACAUCAACCAGCUUAUACUGGUUUUUGCCUCCCCAACCAGCUUAAACUGGUUCUGCUUCCUUCAAAUAAGUUCAUUAAUCAAACCUUGACUUAUUUUACAGAGACAACAGUGCAAGAUGGGAAACCAUCUCUCCAGGAUGACCCCCAACCAAGAAUCUUCAGUCUACAGAACUCAAAGAAUCAAAAGGUUGCCACUGGAACCCUUAACAAAGCAAAGAACUAAGUCAUUCAAUAAGGAAAACCUGGCUUCCAGUAGCAUGACUAGCUUAUAUGUUCUGAUUCAAGACUAGCCAAUCAGCUUCCAAGUUUGAAAUUCCCCUAACCCCUUAAAUUUUAUUUAAACCAACCCUGGAUCAUGGAGACAGAUUUGAGAGCUUUGUCUCCUGUCUCUCUGCUGGUUAACCUCACAAUAAAGAUUUUUUUCCCCCUCAAAA
Long non-coding RNA from Bos taurus (domestic cattle), 1977 nucleotides. Lineage: Eukaryota; Metazoa; Chordata; Mammalia; Artiodactyla; Bovidae. The record is from Ensembl.